AUUGAACGCUGGCGGAAUGCUUUACACAUGCAAGUCGAACGGCAGCACGGGUGCUUGCACCUGGUGGCGAGUGGCGAACGGGUGAGUAAUACAUCGGAACGUACCCAGACGUGGGGGAUAACGUAGCGAAAGUUACGCUAAUACCGCAUACGUCCUGAGGGAGAAAGCAGGGGAUCGUAAGACCUUGCGCGUUUGGAGCGGCCGAUGUCUGAUUAGCUAGUUGGUGAGGUAAAGGCUCACCAAGGCGACGAUCAGUAGCUGGUCUGAGAGGAUGAUCAGCCACACUGGAACUGAGACACGGUCCAGACUCCUACGGGAGGCAGCAGUGGGGAAUUUUGGACAAUGGGCGAAAGCCUGAUCCAGCCAUUCCGCGUGAGUGAAGAAG
This 385-nucleotide ribosomal RNA is filed under the name uncultured bacterium. RNAcentral's name for it is "bacterial SSU rRNA". It matches the Rfam family "Bacterial small subunit ribosomal RNA", at positions 30 to 413 of the family's 1533-position model. The record is from RNAcentral.